This 1611-nucleotide long non-coding RNA is filed under the name Marmota monax (woodchuck). The record is from RNAcentral. Lineage: Eukaryota; Metazoa; Chordata; Mammalia; Rodentia; Sciuridae.
GUUUAAUGUCACUAUCUUUGCUUAUUAUUUGUCCUGCCUCUGUUAUGACAUUGUGGCCUAAGGACAGGAGCGUAUCUGCGUGACACCCUCCAUUAGUACUCUAGGGAGAGAAGACACCACCCUGUCCUCAGCUCCCAGCUGAGGCCCUCGGGCUGCUUCCUUUAUGGGGCGGCUGGAACAUCCAGAUGACACUGGACAAAAGCACAUAUUCUGGGGGGGGGUAGAUGGCAGAGCAGGGAGUGGGGUGUCCCUGGGAGAGUGUGGGAGAAGAUGACGGCAUUGGGGCAGGGGCAUAGGCCCUGACAGGGAGGCUGGGGCCACUGGGGUUGGACAAGUUGCUAAGCCUCAGUUUCCCUUUAUCUAAACAGGGUUGGCCCCAGGACUCGAGGAUGCGUGGUUAGACCCAGGCAGCCCUUGCCUCUGGAGUGUGUUCUGUCACUAGCUCUAGGAAGAGGGCCCAGCCCACAGGUGGAGGAGCUGGAACUCGAGCCCAGGAGGCACGCGGCUCCAGGAUCCAGCCUCUUCCCCACCGGGUCACUUCCCAGCAGGCCGCACUAGGCUUUGGCAGAACCUGUUGUUUGUGAACCUCCAUGAACCCCUCUGGGCCUCCCUUUUUCCAUCUGAGGUGUGGGCACUUUGCCGAUGAUUUCUUCUGGGCGGGGCAGGCUGGCCAGCUCCCCGCUCUCUGGGCCCCUUUCAGACCAGGUCCAAGUCCUUCUCACCCAGAACAUUCCUGCCCCUUUCAUGCCCACCCUGUGAGCAGGGCCACCCCCAUCUGCCUUGUCACUUUCUGGCCACCUGCCCUCAUCUAUAGAAAGCUGCCAUCUGUCUCUCUCUGCACCUCAACCCUUGCAGUGCUCUUGUGACUUCACCGCGCCAGAGGUGACCAGGGCAGGGGCUCUCCAUUCCUCCGUGACCUUGGGCUUCCAUUCCCUCCAGGCUCUUUUGGCAGCCCCACCUGGGCCCAGUACCCCACAGCCUUAGGUCAAACCCCAGCUUGGCUCUGCAGCUCCUCUGCGCACAAUCCUUCCCCUCCCUGGACCUUCCUUCCUCACUGGCCCUCGAUGCCUCCUCCCCACCCACCUUUGCCCACGGUGGGGUCCACAACCAUCAGCAUAACAAAGCCGCAGAUGCCCGGCCCCUCCCUUGGCAGCACCUCCAUGAUGCCCCAGCACCAACCCAACCAGCCCCCUGCAGCAGCCACAGCGGGGAAGCUAAAGGCUUUGGGGGAAACAGCCCCUGCAAAGGCUGUGCCCUCUGUGAGCCCCAAGUCUCCAGCAGACAGUGGCCCUGGCAGUGGCAGCCCCAGUAGCCCACGUGCCUACCCCAACAUGGCGACAUGGCCCGUUCACGCCCGCUGGCCUCCCAGGCUCUGCAGGCCCGUCACCCUCCACCGAGGAAACAGGAGCCCUUCCAGCAGCCCCUCUUCUCACCUGCGGAGGCAUGUGGCCCAUCAAAGGCUAUGGCUUCCCUGGGCUCGGAACCGCCCUUCUGGGCCCAAGGAAUGUGGCCUCAUCGGGUCAUCUUCGUCCUCGCCCUGCUUGCUGUCUCCAUGGACCCCGCGUCCUUCCCACCAGCACACAGUCACAUGCUUCUGUCUGCCACCCUUAG